GACGAACGCUGGCGGCGUGCUUAACACAUGCAAGUCGAACGGAAAGGCCCUGCUUUUGUGGGGUGCUCGAGUGGCGAACGGGUGAGUAACACGUGAGUAACCUGCCCUUGACUUUGGGAUAACUUCAGGAAACUGGGGCUAAUACCGGAUAGGAGCUCCUGCUGCAUGGUGGGGGUUGGAAAGUUUCGGCGGUUGGGGAUGGACUCGCGGCUUAUCAGCUUGUUGGUGGGGUAGUGGCUUACCAAGGCUUUGACGGGUAGCCGGCCUGAGAGGGUGACCGGCCACAUUGGGACUGAGGUACGGCCCAGACGCCUACGAGAGGCAGCAGUGGGGAAUAUUGCACAAUGGGCGGAAGCCUGAUGCAGCAACGCCGCGUGCGGGAUGACGGCCUUCGGGUUGUAAACCGCUUUCGCCGGUGACGAAGCGUGAGUGACGGUAAUGGGUAAAGAAGCACCGGCUAACUACGUG
Molecule: ribosomal RNA, 468 nt
Filed under: uncultured bacterium
Lineage: Bacteria
Description: partial 16S ribosomal RNA
Rfam family: Bacterial small subunit ribosomal RNA
Source: RNAcentral